RNAcentral lists this long non-coding RNA (1044 nucleotides) under Equus caballus (horse). RNAcentral describes it as "lncRNA (ENSECAG00000055196.1)". The record is from RNAcentral. Lineage: Eukaryota; Metazoa; Chordata; Mammalia; Perissodactyla; Equidae.
CCUCAUUUAAUUUCGCAACACUGUGGGAAAUGCAUGAUUACAGCUAUGCUAACUUUCUGAAGCACCUUCUUAUAAUCUCAAGGAUUUAGUCCCCUAAACUUCUUUGCAAAUGUUGCGGGGCUUGAUAUCGUGGAUUUUACUGUAAAACUUCUAGACAAGGGUGGUGAAUUCAACAAAUACUUACACUUUGGCUUUUCAGAUACCUCAAUAAAGUGAGAGAAGUGGGCUUUUCAUAUGACUUGUGUUGACAAGAACAAUAAUAUUUUGGAACUGCAGUGCAGAUGUAGAAAUUGACUGACUCAGCCCAAGAAAGCUGAAUCCUAAACUGGUAGAAGGUAAAGCUGAGUGAGUUGGUCAUACAGUCCCCAAAAGGCCCAGGAAUUAGUGACAUUCAGGAUCUCUAAAACUGGAGAUUUUCUGGAGACCAUAAAACAUACUGUACCUGGGCUGAAGACAGAAAUCAUGGUUGAAGUUGGACCACACUGAAAACAGGAGGCCGAAGUGGAAGUUUAUAUGUACUUUCCUGAAGGCAGGAUUUGAGAGACAAGAGUGAAGAGACCAUCAGUUUGGGAGAGCUGCACCAUGGUGGAAGAGCAGACUGGAAAAUAAGAAAACUAUACACAUCUUUUGGGCCCUGGUGCAUAUUUUACCUACUUAAUGAUUUUGUCAAAGGCUGCACUGAUAAUUACAAAGGAUUACUAGGGAAAAUGAUGAUAGGUGAAAAGAGUUUUCUUUUCCUUAAAUAUUUUCACCAACUGUUUCCAAAGACUGAAAAGAGAAGUUGAAGUCAAACUUUAUUUUUUCCAGAGCGAUUUCUUUCAAUAUCAAAAGACAGUGUUAUCAUGUGCUAUCAUAUUCAAUGUCACAGUGUCCUUGUACUGUAGGUUCAGGAAGCAUUAUUACACCAAUUUUGGGAAUGGGGAAAUCAAUCACUGAGAGACCAAUUUACUUGUCUAAGUUUAUACAGGGAGCAUGGAUUGAGGUUAUGAUUAAGAGUCAAUGACCUACUAAGUAUUUCAGAUGUAUCAGAUGCUUUUGCAACAU